RNAcentral lists this ribosomal RNA (381 nucleotides) under Triticum aestivum (bread wheat). RNAcentral describes it as "partial small subunit ribosomal RNA". The record is from RNAcentral. Lineage: Eukaryota; Viridiplantae; Streptophyta; Magnoliopsida; Poales; Poaceae.
AUGUCUCAGAAUCCCCCAUGUCAACAACUGAAAAUUGCAGCAUAUAGUGAUUCAUUACUUCUUGAUGGGAAUGACGCUGCUGUUCACCGUUACCUUGAUGGCCCUUUGGCAUCAAAAGUGUCAGACGAUCAGGUUAACCAAGAUGAUGCUUUGGCUAGUCAACAUGGAGCUCAAACAUCGAUGCAUGACCGUAUGAAUGACCUUGUUCCAGAAGGAAAAGAACAUUGCAGGAGUGGCUCCAAUCGUGGAGUACGAGGCAGGGUUGUUCCAAACGGUGUCGACCGAGACCGUGCACUUGCAGACGCGAAUGUCUGGGCCGAGGCUUGGAGACGCCACGAGAAGGCAAGCAAAGUGCGUGUGACCGAUGAAAUCCUCGGAUAG